CUGAUGUUUGCGGUUAUUAUAACUGUUACUGCACGACUGACCUUGAAGGGUUUAGGAUUAAACAUUCACACCAUACUGCACACGGUGGCCAGGGUUGCGGACCCCGCAAGCACCAUAUGCGGAUUUCCCAGCAAUAAACAUCGGUGGACGCCGAGCGGUUCUUCCCGUUUGACAGACGAAUAUAUAUUCAUCGUAUAUUUACAAGCUUGCUUAACGUAAAUAACGAUAGUCGGCGGAUGGAUUACGAUUCAAACGGUGCGAUGAUAAGGUUCAGGUCCAAGACCUGUUCUUCUCUGUUUGCAUGGAUAAUCUUAUCUGAGUUGAGGAAGUGGGUCAGCUUCUUUCUGCCACCAAGGACGCAAUACUGAUUCCCAACACGGCAAUCCCAUUUUACAACACCCACCCUCAGUGGAGAGAUGCAUCUUUCCUUCUGGGUCUCCCCCCCUCCUUGGCUGUGCUGCCUGGAGACCCAGAUAUAUCAAGAAAUUCCCCCUACCCUGCUGCCGGCGACGCCCCUGCUGUCUGUGACGUCCUUCCGCGUCCUUCCAGCCUGCCCGCCCUUGUCCCUGUGAUGUCUCCCUUUCCUUCCUUGCUGCUGUACCGCUGUUCAUUCGGUCGUCAGAAGCAGCACCAGCAACUGCGUGCCAUCGCAUUGAGACUCAAAUCUUAAAAUUUGGACAGUGUGAAUUUGCUCGUUUGACU
Paramormyrops kingsleyae is the source of this 702-nucleotide long non-coding RNA. RefSeq lists it as uncharacterized. The record is from RefSeq and is a predicted model, not a curated record. NCBI's taxonomy places the organism in Eukaryota, Metazoa, Chordata, Actinopteri, Osteoglossiformes, Mormyridae.